Molecule: long non-coding RNA, 609 nt
Organism: Cervus elaphus (red deer)
Lineage: Eukaryota; Metazoa; Chordata; Mammalia; Artiodactyla; Cervidae
Exons: 2
Source: RefSeq, a predicted model, not a curated record
ACAGCUCUCCACCAUGCUGCCCUGCUCGCCUGCCACCGGGACCCCAGACCAAGCCCGACCAUGACCAGCCGCGACCGCAGCUCCUUCAGACUGACCCGAGCCGGCGUGGCCCCCGGACCUGCAGCCACGCCACUCGCUGUUCCUUUUUCCUAUGCAUAUACUUCUUUGAGGGUCUGGCCUAAAGAGGUGUAGGGCAUGGGAAAAUGGGGCCCCGAGGUUCCCCUGCGCCACAGCCUGCUCCCUGCCAGGCACCCGCCUCGAGACCUGCCUCCGCGUCCCGCACACCAGGUCAGGGCUUCUGACCUCCGCUUUGGGGUGAGGGGGUCACAGUUUGUGGGACAGGAUGGGGCGACCUUCACUUCCAUGGGUGCCUAGAGCUGUGGGUGUGGUCCAAGCCCCGUUCCUGGUCUGCACCCAGGAGCAUGGUGGGGGUGCGGCCCUGGGGAUGGAAGGUGUGGGAACAGGAGUGGGACGGCCCGCCUGUAACCACGCGGGGCCUGACGCACCCAGCGGUGGGGGGUGUCAGCGAGGGUGGCCAUGGGGCUGCUUCUCCACGCUCAUCAUGCUGUGAUAAUGAGUGUAAUGCAAAUAAAGGUAAUUUCAUGUAGA